This 580-nucleotide long non-coding RNA is filed under the name Arabidopsis lyrata. Its description in RNAcentral is "long non-coding RNA (ALYR_LNC002199)". Lineage: Eukaryota; Viridiplantae; Streptophyta; Magnoliopsida; Brassicales; Brassicaceae. The record is from RNAcentral.
GGAGUGAGUUUCUUCUUCUACCAUCUUGUCUUUGUAACAUUUGAACCAAGCUUUAGUGAACCUGUUUUGAGGGUAUAAAUGAUUCUUCAAUCACUUUUGGAUUUAGGAUUAGUCCUCUGAUUUGAGAAUCCGAACCUCUGCACUUGAGUGUAUUCAUAUGGAGAUAUGAUAAUGAUAUCAUAAAUGGAUUACUGCUUCUCACGAGUCUUUUGAAUCUUAAGACUAGUUUCAAUUGUAAAGGACUUGUUUAGUUGCUUGUGUGAUGGACCUUAACUUGUGGUUUAUUUGUAUGAUGGACCUUAACUUGUGGUUUAUUUAUGUUUUUUUUUUUUUCCUAUGGCAGUGGUUCACUUACAAGAACCUGGUCUUCAAACCAGACAGGUUAACCAAUUCUCUAUAACCUGAUUAGAUAUAAUGCUUUAAGCCUGUGUUUGGUUUCAUGUAGUAAUAUUGAGAAAAUAAGACUCAAGUUCUCGAGGAAAUUGUAUGUUGUGGCUUUCAGGGAGGCUCUGUUUGAGAAGGUCAAGAACACAUACAAAGACAUAUUAGGGAGCAGCUGAAUCAAAGGAGGAGGAAGAAG